CCGGUGUCGACUUACUAGCUGCAAGCCUCUGCCUGCCUUCCUGCGCGCCGUUCCCCGCUAGUCGCUGCUGCUGGCGCGCACUCGCCGGGUUUUUCCUCCCACGGCCUCGAGAUGGUGGUGAAUGUGGCACGGAGGAGCCGGGCCUUCCAACCCGGUGGGCCCGAGCUCCGAAAGGCCCCCUCGGCAGUGAGAGGGGCGGGAGCCCGCGGGGGCCGCGCCCUUCUCUCGCUUCGGACUGCGCAACGCUGCGCUCUGGGCUGACAGAUGAAGACUCUUAAGAUGACAGAAGGUGAUUUUUCUGGUGAUCGAGGACUUCCGGGGUAAUGACAGUGAUGAAAUGCAGGGGACCUGGUAGGUUUCUUUUGGAGACUAACUGGGGGCUGCCUGGUGGGACAGAACAGCAUGUUUCCAAGGGCUGUGGCUGGUCAUAGCCAUGGGAUCUCCAACUGCAUGCAAGAGCAACCUGGAAAGACUUUGACAGCGCAGGUUGCCCCCAAGUUUCCUGGCAGUGUGUGAUACUGAGGAGGUGAGCUUGUUUCUGGAGCUGUGCUUUAAGAUUCAUGUUACAUGUAAAGCUGUCCUCAUUUGUGACUAUGGACCUAUGGAGUUGGGACAAUCUCUAUGGGAAGCAGAAGGCAAGGACCCCGGUCAUUUUAGGUAGAAACAACAGCAUGCUAAUGCAAAAAAUUAUGCAGUGUGCUACUGAACUUCAGAGGUGAUCAAUAAAAGAAGAAUAAAAAGACUAAUAAAA
This 751-nucleotide long non-coding RNA is filed under the name Homo sapiens (human). Its description in RNAcentral is "non-protein coding SNHG12:8". The stretch from base 399 to 510 matches the Rfam family "Small nucleolar RNA SNORA44". The record is from RNAcentral. Lineage: Eukaryota; Metazoa; Chordata; Mammalia; Primates; Hominidae.